This 358-nucleotide unclassified non-coding RNA is filed under the name soil metagenome. RNAcentral describes it as "partial contains 5.8S ribosomal RNA, internal transcribed spacer 2, and large subunit ribosomal RNA". The stretch from base 1 to 120 matches the Rfam family "5.8S ribosomal RNA", at positions 35 to 154 of the family's 154-position model. The record is from RNAcentral.
GAUGAAGAACGUAGCGAAAUGCGAUAAGUAAUGUGAAUUGCAGAAUUCAGAGAAUCAUCGAAUCUUUGAACGCACAUUGCGCCCGUCAGUAUUCUGGCGGGCAUGCCUGUUCGAGCGUCAUUACGCCCCUCAAGUCCCCUGUGGACUUGGUGUUGGGGAUCGGCGAGGCUGGUUUUCCAGCACAGCCGUCCCUUAAAUUAAUUGGCGGUCUCGCCGUGGCCCUCCUCUGCGCAGUAGUAAAACACUCGCAACAGGAGCCCGGCGCGGUCCACUGCCGUAAAACCCCCCAACUUUUUAUAGUUGACCUCGAAUCAGGUAGGACUACCCGCUGAACUUAAGCAUAUCAAUAAGCGGAGGA